Long non-coding RNA from Aegilops tauschii subsp. strangulata, 1105 nucleotides. RefSeq lists it as uncharacterized. Lineage: Eukaryota; Viridiplantae; Streptophyta; Magnoliopsida; Poales; Poaceae. The record is from RefSeq and is a predicted model, not a curated record.
UCUCGCGUCCAAAUCAUGUCCUUGAGCACGUCCGUGCUCGUCUGCAUCAUCCUGCAUCGCUUCCCCGCCCUGCAUCGCUGUGGUGUGGUCACCAUCGCCGCACCCAUGCCACAACCCGCCCCUGACCUCCAUUGGCAUGGAGGUAGAGCUCCCUUGAGCUCUCCCGAAGCCCUCCCGCAUCUAUAUAUAGCACCCCCGGGUCCUUCGGCACCUCACUCACUCCUCCCCCGCCUCUUUUGCUCGCCGAAAGUGCCCAAUCUCGCCAGAGUUCAUCAUUUCAUCCUCGGCCAUCACCGGAGUUUGGUCCUCCCCGGCCACCUCUGGCCUCCUCUCCUCCUCUAGCCACCUCCAACGACUUCCCCUCGUCUCCGCGAGCCGCCCCACACCCUUGCCCCUCGCCAGUGUGGCCAGCUCCACCGAGGCCACCACCACCACCACUGCCCUUGGCCUCCUUUGGCGCCGCUCCUCCUCGCCUCUCCACCUCUCCCCGGCGUCCACUAGUCCUCUAGAAGGGACCCUCUCGGCCUCCCGCACCCGCCGGAGUGCUCGCCUUGGUCGGAGCUGGCCUGGGCCGGCCGGCCUCCUCGCCGCUUCCUCCCCUGCUCCUCCUCUAUUCACGCAAGGAACAGGGCGAGCGGGAGGAAGGGGACGGGCGCCCGUGCCCCCUCCCCAUGUCCCUGGGCCCCACGCGCCAGGGGCCCAGGCGCCUCAUCCCACGUGUCUAGUGGACACGUAUUCUGCUGAGGACCCGGCUGUGAAUAUUCUUUUUAUAAAAAAGUCCCUGAUCUUCAUCACCUCAUAACUCCGCAACCGUAACUCCGAUCAAGAUGAAACCAUCGCUCACUUCUUCGUCUCGUCGAGCUCUUUCUGUUGGUGCCAUUUUCAUUAGGUGUUCACACUAAGCAAAUGACCAUGAUGCCCUUGCCCUUAUCAGCCCCCUCCGAGAGAGAAGCAUCCGUUGUAUCGUUCCGCGACUUCACCACACUUCUUGCCGAAGGCUCCGUCACCCCCAAGCAAGCCACAACAGCCACUUGCAUGAUAGCCAUGCAGUAGCCAUGGUUUCUACUUGAAUAUUUGAUAAAAUAUUGCCAGUUAUCUUCCUGCU